UUAGAUAUCUGUUCUUAAUAGUGUUCCAGAGAAUUAUUAUGCUAGCUUGUAUUAUGUUUUCAUUCAGGUAAUGCCUGACCAAAUUAUACUGGAAAAUGCCUGAAAUAUUGGAUAUCAACAAUAUCAGAAGGUUGGGCAACAAUGGCUAUGUUGCCCAGGAACAGCUUUGGUGAAGAUGUGGCACACAAGCAGAGGCAGGACUUCAGGGAUCUGCUCCAUUCUCCCUAUUCCCA
Molecule: long non-coding RNA, 233 nt
Filed under: Monodelphis domestica (gray short-tailed opossum)
Lineage: Eukaryota; Metazoa; Chordata; Mammalia; Didelphimorphia; Didelphidae
Description: lncRNA (ENSMODG00000039783.1)
Source: RNAcentral